UACGGGGGGAGCAAGCGUUGUUCGGAUUUACUGGGCGUAAAGGGCGCGUAGGCGGCCCCGCAAGUCAGUUGUGAAAUCUCUGGGCUUAACCCAGAAAGGUCAACUGAUACUGCGGGGCUAGAGUGCAGAAGGGGCAACUGGAAUUCUCGGUGUAGCGGUGAAAUGCGUAGAUAUCGAGAGGAACACCUGCGGCGAAGGCGGGUUGCUGGGCUGACACUGACGCUGAUGCGCGAAAGCUAGGGGAGCGAACGGG
RNAcentral lists this ribosomal RNA (253 nucleotides) under uncultured bacterium. Its description in RNAcentral is "partial 16S ribosomal RNA". It matches the Rfam family "Bacterial small subunit ribosomal RNA", at positions 524 to 776 of the family's 1533-position model. The record is from RNAcentral.